CCUCCAGCCACACAGGCACUUUCUCCCAACACCUUCACAUGGAAUCCUUAACCAUUCCCACCCCCAAGCUGCUGGGAUGCUCUCAGGAGCCCCUCCCUGAUGGACCACUGGAUAUGUAAGCUGAGCACAAAAUGAGGUGGGAUGUGCUGCCCUCCAGCAGUUCUUGUCCCUGCUGCAAACCAGUGCUGGAAACCCUCCCUUAGCCUGCUUUCUACUGGCCUGAAUGGGGCUGCUAGGAGACUGGACUGUGGUUGCUAUGGGACCAAGGAUGUGGUUUCUGCAGGACCGGACUGCUGUUGCUAAGGGACCUGGUCACAUCUCCCUGCAGCUGACAGGGACAAGCAGGUUCUCCAGUAAACAAAGAAAUGAGCUUGCUGCAGCUCUCAUUAGUCAGGAACAAAUCUUGGAGCACAGAGAGCCUCAUUAGCAGCAGUCAGCCCAUCUGGGAGAGGUAAAUCCUCACCUGUGUACCAAAGGGAGGAGGAGGCAGUGCUGGGUGAAUUCUGCCCACGGUCACUUCCAGCAGCAGAGGAGUGUACUGUGAACCAGGGCCAGGUGGGUAUCUCACAGAAGAGGUAUAGCUACAGGACCUGAGCUGGAGGCUCCCACUGGUGAUGGGGUGGCAGUCUGUGUCCCUAAGGUGAGAUGUGCCCUUGAGCACAACAGGGAAGAGGCUGACAGAGCUCUAAUCAAGGAGAAGGAGCAGCCCCAGGUGAGAGCUCCUGCAAAAUGAAGCCCAUGGACCCCUGGGGGAGUGCGCUCGUCCCUCUGCUUCCUUAAAAUCUGCCCUGGGCACCUUCUCUUCACACCUUCUUGAUUCAGUGAGGAAUAGAAAAAGUCCUCGGGAUCAUAAAUGCCAAGCUGCUGCUGCUGUGCUUUUAGGUAAGGCCAACAUCAGCCAAUCCUUCAUGCUGUAUUUGGCACCAAGAUUUGCCAAGGGCUCUGGAAAUGGGGCCAAAGACACCACAGGGUAUGUGAACACCUGGGGAAGGGGACACACUGCCACACUUCUGCAUGAAACCCAUCUAGCAAACCUUGUGAGAAACCAGCGAGUCUGUGCAAGUGACCAAAAGGCAGAAACCAUUCAGGAAACCAGAACUGGGACCAAAGAAGUUGAGAAGUCUUCAUCAUUGGUCCAAGACACCUCCUGGACAAGGCUGUGAACAACUCCACCUAACUACUGAGCCUGCUUUUCACUUGAGAUCUCCAGAGCUCCCUCCUGAUCCAAGUUACUUCAUCAAGACCAGCUGGGCUUUGCAUGGAUCUUCCCUACUAGUCCAGGAGAUGCCUCCUCCAGACAGAUGUGGGGUGAUACCAAGUUCCUGAAGCCCCGCAUACAAGCAUGGGCCAGAGCAUAGCUUCCCUGUGCAGCCUGGGGUAGCCAGGGCUCCAUGCAUCCCCUGCAGGUGGCAAGUGGGAACACUCAGAACUCAGGAGGGACUAAACCUGGGCACAUUACAGCAGGCAGCUCGGCAAAGACCUCCCUGGAGAUGGUUUUACCAAAACUGAAUGGGUCUAUAACACCCAGUUCUAAGUGUUUCCUUAAUCUGUGGUGCUGGAUGUCUGUUAAGGGAUGCAGGAUGACCCACAUAUGUGCAGUUCCCAUAGACGCACAUGCCAAUGGAACCAGGCACAGGAAUUAGCCCCACACUGCCCACAGAGCACUCCAACAGCUUCAACCUGGCAAACUGAAGAACAGGAGAAGGCUUUGAUUUCAACUUGGGAUCGCUCUGAUCGUCACAC
Coturnix japonica (Japanese quail) is the source of this 1743-nucleotide non-coding RNA. The record is from RefSeq and is a predicted model, not a curated record. Lineage: Eukaryota; Metazoa; Chordata; Aves; Galliformes; Phasianidae.